RNAcentral lists this ribosomal RNA (321 nucleotides) under Escherichia coli. RNAcentral describes it as "partial 23S ribosomal RNA". It matches the Rfam family "Bacterial large subunit ribosomal RNA", at positions 1 to 349 of the family's 2925-position model. The record is from RNAcentral. Lineage: Bacteria; Pseudomonadati; Pseudomonadota; Gammaproteobacteria; Enterobacterales; Enterobacteriaceae.
GGGUUGUGAGGUUAAGCGACUAAGCGUACACGGUGGAUGCCCUGGCAGUCAGAGGCGAUGAAGGACGUGCUAAUCUGCGAUAAGCGUCGGUAAGGUGAUAUGAACCGUUAUAACCGGCGAUUUCCGAAUGGGGAAACCCAGUGUGUUUCGACACACUAUCAUUAACUGAAUCCAUAGGUUAAUGAGGCGAACCGGGGGAACUGAAACAUCUAAGUACCCCGAGGAAAAGAAAUCAACCGAGAUUCCCCCAGUAGCGGCGAGCGAACGGGGAGGAGCCCAGAGCCUGAAUCAGUAUGUGUGUUAGUGGAAGCGUCUGGAAAG